AUUGAACGCUGGCGGCAGGCCUAACACAUGCAAGUCGAGCGGAUGAAGGGAGCUUGCUCCUGGAUUCAGCGGCGGACGGGUGAGUAAUGCCUAGGAAUCUGCCUGGUAUUGGGGGAUAACGUCCGGAAACGGGCGCUAAUACCGCAUACGUCCUGAGGGAGAAAGUGGGGGAUCUUCGGACCUCACGCUAUCAGAUGAGCCUAGGUCGGAUUAGAUAGUUGGUGGGGUAAAGGCCUACCAAGGCGACGAUCCGUAACUGGUCUGAGAGGAUGAUCAGUCACACUGGAACUGAGACACGGUCCAGACUCCUACGGGAGGCAGCAGUGGGGAAUAUUGGACAAUGGGCGAAAGCCUGAUCCAGCCAUGCCGCGUGUGUGAAGAAGGUCUUCGGAUUGUAAAGCACUUUAAGUUGGGAGGAAGGGCAGUAAGUUAAUACCUUGCUGUUUUGACGUUACCAACAGAAUAAGCACCGGCUAACUUCGUG
RNAcentral lists this ribosomal RNA (484 nucleotides) under uncultured bacterium. RNAcentral describes it as "partial 16S ribosomal RNA". It matches the Rfam family "Bacterial small subunit ribosomal RNA", at positions 30 to 507 of the family's 1533-position model. The record is from RNAcentral.